AUGCAUAUGAAUGAAAGAAAUGAAAUAGAUGGGAUCUUCUUUAAACAAAUGCCUAUUUUGAAACACAAUUUACCUGUUGAGACUCUUGGAUAUCCUCUUCCUCCCAAGAGUGAUCCCGUGUUUGAGCUUAAACAAUUACCUGAUACUUUGAAAUAUGCUUAUGUUGAUGAAAAGAAGAUAUAUCAUGUUAUUAUUAGUGCUAACCUUUCAGAGCUUGAAGAAAAUAGAUUAUUGAAAACUCUGAGGAAGCAUUGUGCCACUAUUGGAUAUACCAUUGAUGAUGUUAAGGGCAUUAGUCCCACUCUAUGCCAGCACCAAAUAAAAUGGAACCUGAUGCUAAACCAGUUGUUGAUCACCAGCGACGUUUAA
RNAcentral lists this ribosomal RNA (369 nucleotides) under Triticum aestivum (bread wheat). Its description in RNAcentral is "partial small subunit ribosomal RNA". Lineage: Eukaryota; Viridiplantae; Streptophyta; Magnoliopsida; Poales; Poaceae. The record is from RNAcentral.